CCUAACCAUCGUCAUGGUGACUAUCCUGCUGAUUUCAAGACCCAUCCAGAGGACCUCCAGAAAGUAGCCUGGACAUUUCAUUUUGGCACCCGAAUGUGGGGCACUGAAAGAAGCACACUACAUUUUGAGGCUCUGAACAUAAGGACUUACACUCAGCAGUUAAACUGACAGGAUCAUAAAUUCAGUGGAGAAGUCCCUGUGACGUGGAAAUAGGUCCCACCUCCCUGAUUCUCAUACUGCAGCUUACCUGUGCCAGCAUAGGAGAUCACAAAGAGCAUCAAAAACACCAGAUACAGGAUCUUCAUGGUGACUGGAUGGCUGGAACCUGAGAAUUAUAGGAGAAGUAAGGGGAGGCCAGAUCAGGAGAGGUAAGGGCAGAAUUGAAAUAAACAACUCCUUUGAAACCGAUGCUUUCCAACAUGCUGAGAAAAAGAAGAGUCCCUUCCAAUUUGAAAUUUUUUAUGAGAGCUUCAAACCUGGAAAAUUCAUGGGUCCUGAUUAGAGUGGCUAGUACUAUUUGUCAUCUAACUUUCAGUUGUGAGUCAUGUUCUGCUAGUGAAAGCAUCAUGUCAAAAGAAAGGGAUUACUUAGAUUCACAUCCUCAGUGUUGGAAGGGUCCUCAGAUGACUUCUGUUUCAGCUCAGAUCCAAACAAUAAAACACCUCUACAAUGUCAUCAAUAAAUGGUUUUCUGGUAUUUCCUUGAAGUUGAAUAAAUAUAUUGCCUCACAUCAGACAAUCUAUU
Molecule: long non-coding RNA, 744 nt
Filed under: Sarcophilus harrisii (Tasmanian devil)
Lineage: Eukaryota; Metazoa; Chordata; Mammalia; Dasyuromorphia; Dasyuridae
Description: lncRNA (ENSSHAG00000022382.1)
Source: RNAcentral